GCGCCCGUAGCUCAGCUGGAUAGAGCAACGGCCUUCUAAGCCGUGGGUCAGGGGUUCGAAUCCUCUCGGGCGCACCA
RNAcentral lists this transfer RNA (77 nucleotides) under Desulfurella acetivorans. RNAcentral's name for it is "tRNA-Arg". It matches the Rfam family "tRNA". Rfam says of the family: Transfer RNA (tRNA) molecules are approximately 80 nucleotides in length. Their secondary structure includes four short double-helical elements and three loops (D, anti-codon, and T loops). Lineage: Bacteria; Pseudomonadati; Campylobacterota; Desulfurellia; Desulfurellales; Desulfurellaceae. The record is from RNAcentral.